Molecule: long non-coding RNA, 268 nt
Organism: Ornithodoros turicata
Lineage: Eukaryota; Metazoa; Arthropoda; Arachnida; Ixodida; Argasidae
Exons: 3
Source: RefSeq, a predicted model, not a curated record
UGAAAGGUGCACGCCCUGAAGCAUCUUGGGAGAGCUUCACUGUUCAAGUGAUGGGAGUUUUCUCAACCUACAGGGAAGCUCAUGAGAAAUUAGACCGGGCACAAUACGAGUCGGACCUCAACUCAGAUGUCAAUGAAGCUGGGAAAAGGAAGCGCCAUGCGCCCAGCCGCUUAGUUGAGGAGGACGACGAGCUUGCAGUUGUAAGGUCCAAAUAUUCCCGUGUGGUGGCUCUCCCUGACACAUCAGACUCUGAGGAAAUCGAAAAUCC